UACGGGGGGGGCAAGCGUUGUUCGGAAUUACUGGGCGUAAAGGGCUCGUAGGUGGCCAACUAAGUCAGACGUGAAAUCCCUCGGCUUAACCCAGGAAGUGCAUUUGAAACUCACGAACUUGAGUCCCGGAGAGGAAGGCGGAAUUCUCGGUGUAGAGGUGAAAUUCGUAGAUAUCGAGAGGAACAUCGGUGGCGAAGGCGGCCUUCUGGACGGUGACUGACGCUGAGAUGCGAAAGCGUGGGGAGCAAACAGG
RNAcentral lists this ribosomal RNA (253 nucleotides) under uncultured bacterium. RNAcentral describes it as "partial 16S ribosomal RNA". It matches the Rfam family "Bacterial small subunit ribosomal RNA", at positions 524 to 776 of the family's 1533-position model. The record is from RNAcentral.